This 1492-nucleotide ribosomal RNA is filed under the name metagenome. RNAcentral's name for it is "bacterial SSU rRNA". It matches the Rfam family "Bacterial small subunit ribosomal RNA". The record is from RNAcentral.
AGAGUUUGAUCCUGGCUCAGAUUGAACGCUGGCGGCAUGCCUUACACAUGCAAGUCGAACGGUAACGCGGGGGCAACCCUGGCGACGAGUGGCGAACGGGUGAGUAAUACAUCGGAACAUAUCCAGUAGCGGGGGAUAACCUAUCGAAAGAUGGACUAAUACCGCAUACGAUCUACGGAUGAAAGCAGGGGACCGCAAGGCCUUGCACUAUUGGAGUGGCCGAUGUCGGAUUAGCUAGUUGGUGGGGUAAAAGCUUACCAAGGCGACGAUCCGUAGCUGGUCUGAAGGACGAUCAGCCACACUGGAACUGAGACACGGUCCAGACUCCUACGGGAGGCAGCAGUGGGGAAUUUUGGACAAUGGGCGCAAGCCUGAUCCAGCCAUGCCGCGUGAGUGAAGAAGGCCUUCGGGUUGUAAAGCUCUUUCGGUGAAGACGAAACGGUUCAUGCUAAUAACGUGAACUAAUGACGGUACUCACAGAAGAAGCACCGGCUAACUACGUGCCAGCAGCCGCGGUAAUACGUAGGGUGCAGGCGUUAAUCGGAAUUACUGGGCGUAAAGCGUGCGCAGGCGGUUUGCUAAGACAGGUGUGAAAUCCCCGGGCUUAACCUGGGAAUUGCGCUUGUAACUGGCAAGCUAGAGUGUGGCAGAGGGGGGUGGAAUUCCACGUGUAGCAGUGAAAUGCGUAGAUAUGUGGAGGAACACCGAUGGCGAAGGCAGCCCCCUGGGUUAACACUGACGCUCAUGCACGAAAGCGUGGGGAGCAAACAGGAUUAGAUACCCUGGUAGUCCACGCCCUAAACUAUGUCAACUAGUUGUCGGGGAAGAAAUUCCUUGGUAACGAAGCUAACGCGUGAAGUUGACCGCCUGGGGAGUACGGCCGCGAGGUUAAAACUCAAAGGAAUUGACGGGGACCCGCACAAGCGGUGGAUUAUGUGGAUUAAUUCGAUGCAACGCGAAAAACCUUACCUACCCUUGACAUGCUAGGAAGCCCGCAGAGAUGUGGGUGUGCCCGAAAGGGAACCUAGACACAGGUGCUGCAUGGCUGUCGUCAGCUCGUGUCGUGAGAUGUUGGGUUAAGUCCCGCAACGAGCGCAACCCUUGCCAUUAGUUGCUACAUUCAGUUGGGCACUCUAAUGGGACCGCCGGUGACAAACCGGAGGAAGGUGGGGAUGACGUCAAGUCCUCAUGGCCCUUAUGGGUAGGGCUUCACACGUAAUACAAUGGUCGGUACAGAGGGCUGCCAACCCGCAAGGGGGAGCUAAUCCCAGAAAGCCGAUCGUAGUCCGGAUUGUAGUCUGCAACUCGACUGCAUGAAGCCGGAAUCGCUAGUAAUCGCGGAUCAGCAUGUCGCGGUGAAUACGUUCCCGGGUCUUGUACACACCGCCCGUCACACCAUGGGAGUGGGUUCCACCAGAAGUAGUUAGCCUAACCGCAAGGAGGGCGAUUACCACGGUGAGAUUCAUGACUGGGGUGAAGUCGUAACAAGGUA